UAUUGUGGGCAUCUUUCCUAGAAAUGAAUAAUUUACCAAAGUCAUUACCAACGCUUCUAUGGGAAACAGCGUGAAUUGGACCUUGAGACGAGGCAGAUUUUUUCAAGCGUCUUCAAGUGUCUGCAGUCCACUCAUCAGUGCGGUAUAUGUCUUAAAGCUAUGCAACUGCGUGGGAGGGCUGCAGUAGCACCUACUAUCAGUACUACCGGUUCAACCAGUAUACAGUAUAUAGGGUUUUUUGUAUUCCUUUUAUUUUACUGAGGUAUUUAUGUGCAGUAUGUACCUCUCAGGAACAGAAGGACUACAUGUGACUGUUCCCGAUGUACUCGAUGCACUCGCAAAAGGUCAAAAGCUUCCUCCUGUGCACAAAAUAGAUCUAUUUCAGGAUAGUUUUCGAGUGAGAAAUAACAAAAGAGGACAUGGGUUGGUUUUCACUAGUUUAUGUUACAUCUCUGGUUAUAGAGAGGAGAGUGGAGUUACGGUCAGCCAGAUGCAGCAGCCAAUUAGCAAGCCUGGAAGUCUACAGUCCACAUGAGGGUACACUUUGCUCUAUUUCUCUCUCUGGAUAUCAAGAAAGCCUGCUGCUUAGAUCUUACUGCAGGAAGGAGGAACAUAAGGAGUUAUAAGAUGCCGCAGGAUGCCUUCCAUGGAGUCCGCUAUGUUUCUACAGUAGCCCAAAAAGGAAAAAAACAAACACUGGCUCUAGAUAGGGGGCGUUUCUUGCGCGAUCCUCUUUUGCGCUUGGAAGGGGAAGGUAAAACGAGGGACUUGCAAUCUAGAACCACACCACUAGAUGCUACUAAAUCCUACACAUGUCCCACUCUCUCUCUUUGUUUCUCUGCAGAGCAUGUGCAAUAG
RNAcentral lists this long non-coding RNA (858 nucleotides) under Dicentrarchus labrax (European seabass). RNAcentral describes it as "lncRNA (ENSDLAG00005028970.1)". Lineage: Eukaryota; Metazoa; Chordata; Actinopteri; Moronidae. The record is from RNAcentral.